Molecule: non-coding RNA, 90 nt
Organism: Caenorhabditis elegans
Lineage: Eukaryota; Metazoa; Nematoda; Chromadorea; Rhabditida; Rhabditidae
Source: Ensembl
GUCUGGAGCUUCUUCUUCGGACCCACCGUACUCAUAUUCACCUUCCUGAUUCUUCCCUCCUAUCGGGACACUAUCAUGUGCGGGUAAGUA